Molecule: transfer RNA, 76 nt
Filed under: Victivallis sp.
Lineage: Bacteria; Pseudomonadati; Lentisphaerota; Lentisphaeria; Victivallales; Victivallaceae
Also listed under: 1 other name
Description: tRNA-Ala
Rfam family: tRNA
About the family: Transfer RNA (tRNA) molecules are approximately 80 nucleotides in length. Their secondary structure includes four short double-helical elements and three loops (D, anti-codon, and T loops).
Source: RNAcentral
GGGGUCGUGGCUCAAUGGCUAGAGCACCUGCUUUGCAAGCAGGAUGUUGAGGGUUCGAGUCCCUUCGACUCCACCA